GGUAUUGUGACUAAAGGUGACCUCUCCUUGGAAGUUACCGUUUAGAGAUGGGCUUGCGGACCAUUAGCUAGUUGGUGAGGUAACGGCUCACCAAGGCUACGAUGGAUAGCCGGCCUAAGAGGGUGAUCGGCCACAUUGGAACUGAGAUACGGCCCAGACUCCUACGGGAGGCAGCAGUAGGGAAUCUUGCGCAAUGGACGAAAGUCUGACGCAGCGACGCCGCGUGAGGGAUGACGGCCUUCGGGUUGUAAACCUCUGUUGAGUGGGAAGAAAAGCUUUGUGGUUAAUAUCCACAGAGUCUGACGGUACCACUCGAGGAAGCUCCGGCUAACUACGUGCCAUCAUCCGGGGUACUACGUAUGGGGCUAUCGUUGUUCGGAAUCACUGGGCGUAAAGGGAGUGUAUGCGGACCGGUAAGUUAGGAGUUAAAUGUACGGGCUCAACCCGUGAUCUGCUUUUAAUACUGUCGGUCUUGAGUAUGGGAGAGGGAGAUGGAAUUCCAGGUGUAGCGGUGGAAUGCGUAGAUAUCUGGAAGAACACCAGUUGCGAAUGCGGCCUCCUGGACCAAUACUGACGCUGAUGCUCGAAAGCUGGGGGAGCGAACAGGAUAAGAUACCCUGGUAGUCCCAGCCGUAAACGAUGGACACUAGUUGCCGGAGGAGUCAAUCCAUUCGGUGACGAAGCUAACGCAUUAAGUGUCCCGCCUGGGGAGUACGCUCGCAAGGGUGAAACUCAAAGGAAUUGACGGGGGCCCGCACAAGCGGUGGAGCAUGUGCUUUAAUUCGAUGCAACGCGAAGAACCUUACCUGGGCUUGACAUGGGGGUGAAAGUUUCCAGAGAUGGAAGCCUUUCCUUCGGGAACACCACACACAGGUGCUGCAUGGUUGUCGUCAGCUCGUGUCGUGAGAUGUUGGGCUAAGUCCCGCAACGAGCGCAACACCUGCCACUAGUUGCCAUCAGGUAAAGCUGGGAACUCUAAGGGGACAGCUUGGUAUAACCAGGAGGAAGGUGGGGAUGACGUCAAAUCAUCAUGGCUCUUACGCCCAGGGCUAGACACGUGCUGCAAUGGCAGGUACA
This 1077-nucleotide ribosomal RNA is filed under the name uncultured organism. RNAcentral's name for it is "bacterial SSU rRNA". It matches the Rfam family "Bacterial small subunit ribosomal RNA", at positions 191 to 1241 of the family's 1533-position model. The record is from RNAcentral.